AAUAUCUUGCUUGGUGGCAUCCUUCUCAGCCUCGGUUUGUGCUAUCAUGUCCCGUGCACUGUCAAGGAUGUGAUACACCUUAUCGCGGGCAUCAUUGGCGUCACGGAGAUACUUUUGUUGCUCUGCAUACGAGUUGAACUCGAGCUCUUGAAGCUUCUGGACUUCUUGUCGAUGAAUCAGAUCGGCUAGCUUAUGCAACUGCCCUGGACUUAAAUCAACUAGGUCACCUGACAUG
Molecule: long non-coding RNA, 235 nt
Filed under: Hordeum vulgare
Lineage: Eukaryota; Viridiplantae; Streptophyta; Magnoliopsida; Poales; Poaceae
Description: long non-coding RNA (HVUL_LNC008443)
Source: RNAcentral